This 1132-nucleotide ribosomal RNA is filed under the name Peribacillus frigoritolerans. RNAcentral describes it as "partial 23S ribosomal RNA". It matches the Rfam family "Bacterial large subunit ribosomal RNA", at positions 643 to 1769 of the family's 2925-position model. Lineage: Bacteria; Bacillati; Bacillota; Bacilli; Caryophanales; Bacillaceae. The record is from RNAcentral.
AGGUUAAGUUGAUGAGACGGAGCCGCAGCGAAAGCGAGUCUGAAUAGGGCGAAUGAGUAUGAGGUCGUAGACCCGAAACCAGGUGAUCUACCCAUGUCCAGGGUGAAGUUCAGGUAACACUGAAUGGAGGCCCGAACCCACGCACGUUGAAAAGUGCGGGGAUGAGGUGUGGGUAGCGGAGAAAUUCCAAUCGAACCUGGAGAUAGCUGGUUCUCUCCGAAAUAGCUUUAGGGCUAGCCUCAAGAUGAGAGUAUUGGAGGUAGAGCACUGAUUGGACUAGGGGCCCCCAACGGGUUACCGAAUUCAGUCAAACUCCGAAUGCCAAAUACUUAUUCUUGGGAGUCAGACUGCGAGUGAUAAGAUCCGUAGUCGAAAGGGAAACAGCCCAGACCACCAGCUAAGGUCCCAAAGUAUACGUUAAGUGGAAAAGGAUGUGGAGUUGCUUAGACAACCAGGAUGUUGGCUUAGAAGCAGCCACCAUUUAAAGAGUGCGUAAUAGCUCACUGGUCGAGUGACUCCGCGCCGAAAAUGUACCGGGGCUAAACGUAUCACCGAAGCUGUGGAUUGACACCAUUAGGUGUCGAUGGUAGGAGAGCGUUCUAAGGGCGUUGAAGUCAGACCGGAAGGACUGGUGGAGCGCUUAGAAGUGAGAAUGCCGGUAUGAGUAGCGAAAGAAGGGUGAGAAUCCCUUCCACCGAAUGCCUAAGGUUUCCUGAGGAAGGCUCGUCCGCUCAGGGUUAGUCGGGACCUAAGCCGAGGCCGAAAGGCGUAGGCGAUGGACAACAGGUUGAUAUUCCUGUACCACCUAUACAUCGUUUGAACGAUGGGGGGACGCAGAAGGAUAGGGUAAGCGCGCUGUUGGAUAUGCGCGUCCAAGCAGUUAGGCCGGAAACGAGGCAAAUCCCGUUUCCAUUAAGGCGGAGCUGUGAUGGCGAGGGAAAUAUAGUACCGAAGUUCCUGAUUCCACGCUGCCAAGAAAAGCCUCUAGUGAGAUGUAAGGUGCCCGUACCGCAAACCGACACAGGUAGGCGAGGAGAGAAUCCUAAGGUGUGCGAGAGAACUCUCGUUAAGGAACUCGGCAAAAUGACCCCGUAACUUCGGGAGAAGGGGUGCUUUUUAGGGUGAAUAGCCC